This is a long non-coding RNA of Fundulus heteroclitus (mummichog), 2164 nucleotides long. RefSeq lists it as uncharacterized. The record is from RefSeq and is a predicted model, not a curated record. NCBI's taxonomy places the organism in Eukaryota, Metazoa, Chordata, Actinopteri, Cyprinodontiformes, Fundulidae. The transcript is spliced from 3 exons.
GACGACGACCUCACAUCCUGUGACGUCUCUGUGCGGUGAGGCACUGAGCUUCACAACCUAAUUCAGUUGGAGCUGUUGUACACAGUUAUUUCGGAUUUCCAGAGGAUUUAAUUAUUGUUAAAGCGAUAAUGCCCACUUGUAUGGCCGUUGGAUGUUCCAACACGACAGGUAAAAGUGAAAAAAGCAUAAAUUAUUUCACCUUUCCGACUCACGAUCCACCACGGGUUCGUCGUUGGAUUGCCAACCUGAAGAGGAAGGAUUUACCAUCAAACUUCUGGCCAGAAAGAAAACAUGUCAUCUGUAGCCAGCAUUUCGAGGAAGAAUGUUUUGAAGAUGACGUAAGAGCGAGGAUUUUGGCUGAAAUCUAUGGAGAGGAAAGACGACUGGCAAAUAAACGGAGACUCACACCCACUGCCGUCCCCACAGUGUUCUGUUUUACAAAAGAAAGAAAGAAAAGAACUUUGUCAAUCAAUCGUAGCCUCUUACGCGAACGUCGUCUCAUGGUAGCUGAAGCUCUUGGAUGUACAGGUGCUAAUGGCGACAGGAAAAGUGUUUCUGUUCAAGAAAGGAGCGGCCCAGUGUCCACCAAAAAACCACCAAAAAGGAAAAAACGGAGUUUCUGUGAUUCAGCAACACAGUUUGAUAAAAUAGAGACAUGUGACACAGGUGUACAGUGUCAGCUACUGUCCUCUUAUGAUGGGUGGCCAGUGUGGACAGGAACAGUCAGUCGACAUGAAAUCACACGUGACCACUGUUACAGCCGAGAAACACCAGAGACGAUGCCUCUCACGUCCACCUCUCACUGCCGUUAAAUCAAGAAAGAGCUCACAUGUGUGAAUCUCCAGCCCUUGACACUACUGGACUCAUGUCAGUUGCAAGGCCCCCAACAAAUGAACUCUUGAAGAGCCAGAACAUUAGAUUUAUCAAGGACUAUUAAGACAGUGAUUGCACGUUGAGUAAAAUAAAUCUUCCUAAUUUUUCCAUUGAUAACCUUUUCUUCCAGUUACCUUUUCUGUCUUUUGAAAUGUACCUAUACUUUUGGGCAUGUGUCCUCUGUUUGAAAGUCAAUCAUUAAAAAGCACGGGGGGAAAAAACUAAGUUUAUCUGAAUAGAUAAAUAGGUUCAGAUUAUUUUUUUUCAGAUAAGUAAAAACAGCUAAACCUUUUUAUAGGCCUUAUUUAUGUGUUAUGGAUCCACCUGGACCAAAAAAAAUUAAAAGUGAAGACUAAAUUUUUGUGGGUGUUCCUAUUUUUAAACCUUGUAUUAUAUAUUUCUGUUUGUUUCGUAAGCUAAGUACAUAUCAGGGUAUAUAAUUUGUGGUUGCAUAUAUAAUACGGAGCAGUUUUCUAGUUAUAGUGAAAAUUAGUAUCUGCGCGGUAACAAAUAAUACAUGUUUUGGUGAGGACUUUGGAUUACAAGCUUCAUCCUGAAAUUGACUAUACAUUUGCAGACUAAUUCAAAAUAUGACAUGGGGCAUUUUUCACUUUAGGGUUAUAAUUUGCAAAUUUUUCACCAUGCUAAGAUUAAAAACUUACACAUUAUAUACAUUUUACAUGUAUCUUUUAUUAGUUCAACAUACAAAAAAAAAAAAAAAAAAAACUAGCCAUCAUUGUCAGCUUCUUUAAACCAAACCCAAGAUAAACUCCAUCACUAGGAUAUUUUUUUCCUAAUGGCAAGAACUACACAAGAUGGUAUGACGUGAAUACUCAUCAGUUUUUUCCAUAAUCUGGUCUAUUUCACGACAGCAACACAAUUGAUCUACAGUCAUCAAGUUGCAGCUUCCACACAAAUACCAAGACAAGACCAAAAGCUGGUUUUGUUUGGCUGGUGGAUCCUCGACUGAUUUAUUGCUCUUGUCCUAAUCAGCAUCAUCAUGAGGGCGAGGCCCUGCCUGAAAGACCAGAAGAGAAUUAAAUCAGUUGGACCAUCUUAUAACAGUUAACAAAUGAAAACAAAAGUUAUACAAAUAAGAUCAUUUAAUUAGGUUGUAGGCUUAAAGGUGUAGGGCCUACAUUUUAAUUAUUAUUAGGGUAAUAAAGUCAAUCGCAUAAUUUCAAAAGUUUACUCGAGAUUAAUCCCAAAUUAAUCGCUCAUUUAAAUUUUUUUUUCUGAAAGUGUAAAAGCCUAUUUGGCCAUUUUAAUAUGCAAUUUUGGCAUAAAUGAC